CAGUAGGGAGGAAGGUAGUGCAGUUAACACCUGCAUUAUUUGACGUUACCUACAGAAGAAGCACCGGCUAACUCCGUGCCAGCAGCCGCGGUAAUACGGAGGGGUGCGAGCGUUAAUCGGAAUUACUGGGCGUAAAGACGCAUGCAGGCGGCCUCGUUAAGUCAGAUGUGAAAGACCCGGGGCGUUAACCUCGGAAUUGCAUUUGAAACUGGCAGGCUAGAGUCUUGUAGAGGGGGGUAGGAAGUUUCAGGUGUAGCGGUGAAAUAGCGUAGAGAUCUGAAGGAAUACCAGUGGCGAAGGCGGCCCCCUCGGACAAAGACUGACGCUCAGAUGCGAAAGCGUGGGGAGCAAACAGGAUUAGAUACCCUGGUAG
This 373-nucleotide ribosomal RNA is filed under the name uncultured bacterium. Its description in RNAcentral is "bacterial SSU rRNA". It matches the Rfam family "Bacterial small subunit ribosomal RNA", at positions 434 to 793 of the family's 1533-position model. The record is from RNAcentral.